Molecule: long non-coding RNA, 1111 nt
Filed under: Homo sapiens (human)
Lineage: Eukaryota; Metazoa; Chordata; Mammalia; Primates; Hominidae
Description: HSALNT0005095
Source: RNAcentral
GCUCAGGUUGUCAGGGGGCUGAGCUGCAGCCUCCAAUUGGCGAGCGGGGCACCGAGGGGAAGGCGCCCAGGAGGUGGGUUCAUCCGCGUGGGGAAGCGCCCGGGGUGGCCACGCGGGGCCCGGAGGGUGUCGCCCUCGCGGCACCGGAGUCAAGGAGAAGGGAACGAAUCCCCAAGGAAGAAUCCGAAAUGUCCUCAGCCAGGUUUGCGCUGACCGCCCUCGCCCUGGCAGCCACAGCCGCAGCGGGAAGGACCACAGUUGGCAGUCAGAACCCUGGCUCCAACCCGCCAGGGGAGCCUGGACGGCCGCGACGUUCCCGGGUUUCUCCUGCCGGGACCCCGGCCUUCCCUUCAGCACCCAUCAAAGUUAACACAGGCAGGAGGCCCAGAAAGGAAGACAAGACCCCAAAGGCAGAACUAAGAGUAUUCUAAGCCCAGCUGGAGAGGACGCCGCCGCCUCUUCCCCUUCUCACGCGCUUGCCUAGGACCCCCAGCUCCCUUCUCACGCGCUUGCCCAGGCUGGCGGUCCCAACUUUCUUCCCCUGCAAGAGGACGCGGCUACGGCGGGACUCAUGCCCGGGCCAGUUAGCGCCACCUACCGGCCACUCCCUUCCUUUCACCGUUCACAUUGUCCUGCUGGCCCGCGUCUUAAACCCAUUUCACAGUGCCCAGAAGUAGUGGGCAUUCGUACCCAGGAAGCGAUUCUGCCUUCGUUAUGCCCCUGUCCUUUCCAAAUGCCUGGAGGAUCUAGCUGUUAGAUCCUCCCAGCUGCCACUGCCUGUUUUAACCAUAAGCUGCUUCUCUCGAAUAUUCAGAGUGGGACAACUCCAAAGACCAGACCAGGGGUCAAGGGGUUCAGGUCAGUGCCAUAACCAUUUCUUGCUGGAAGUAUGUGAAUAGUGACUGGUACCCACCAGACUGCCAGGAAUAUGUCUCUUUGGCCCCAAGGCUUGAGCCACAAAAUCCAGCUGCAGCGAACUGCCAUCUCUUAAGACAUAAAAACAUACACAACCGCCACUGUUAAAAAUACAUUUAUCAUUAAAAUAUAUUACACAUGGAGACAGGAUGCAUCAUAUACAGUUUGGAAGACUUGCUGGCCCAGAAAAUCCCAC